CCCUUAGAUGUUCUGGGCCGCACGCGCGCUACACUGAUGCAUUCAACGAGUUUCUUCCUGGUCCGAGAGGAAUGGGUAACCUUUUGAAAGUGCAUCGUGAUAGGGAUAGACUAUUGCAAUUAUUGGUCUUCAACGAGGAAUUCCUAGUAGACGUAGUUCAUCAGACUGCAUCGAUUACGUCCCUGCCCUUUGUACACACCGCCCGUCGCUCCUACCGAUUGAAUGCUCAGGUGAGCCAUUCGGACUUUCAUCAUGCUGGUUUCCAGUUUUGAUGAAGGAAAGUCUUGCGAACCUUAUCAUUUAGAGGAAGGAGAAGUCGUACA
This 323-nucleotide ribosomal RNA is filed under the name uncultured eukaryote. Its description in RNAcentral is "partial 18S ribosomal RNA". It matches the Rfam family "Eukaryotic small subunit ribosomal RNA", at positions 1470 to 1796 of the family's 1831-position model. The record is from RNAcentral.